GUCUAUAAUGCAGUCGAACGCGCAGCGAGAGGUGCUUGCACCUUUCAAGCGAGUGGCGAAGGGGGAGUAACACGUGGAUAACCUGCCUCAAGGCUGGGGAUAACAUUUGGAAACAGAUGCUAAUACCGAAUAAAACUUAGUAUCGCAUGAUAUCAAGUUAAAAGGCGCUACGGCGUCACCUAGAGAUGGAUCCGCGGUGCAUUAGUUAGUUGGUGGGGUAAAGGCUUACCAAGACAAUGAUGCAUAGCCGAGUUGAGAGACUGAUCGGCCACAUUGGGACUGAGACACGGCCCAAACUCCUACGGGAGGCUGCAGUAGGGAAUCUUCCACAAUGGGCGCAAGCCUGAUGGAGCAACGCCGCGUGUGUGAUGAAGGCUUUCGGGUCGUAAAGCACUGUUGUAUGGGAAGAAUUUCUAAAAUAGGGAAUGAUUUUAGUUUGACGGUACCAUACCAGAAAGGGACGGCUAAAUACGUGCCAGCAGCCGCGGUAAUACGUAUGUCCCGAGCGUUAUCCGGAUUUAUUGGGCGUAAAGCGAGCGCAGACGGUUGAUUAAGUCUGAUGUGAAAGCCCGGAGCUCAACUCCGGAAUGGCAUUGGAAACUGGUUAACUUGAGUGUUGUAGAGGUAGUGGAACUCCAUGUGUAGCGGUGGAAUGCGUAGAUAUAUGGAAGAACACCAGUGGCGAAGCGGCUUUACUGGACCACAACUGACGUUGAGGCUCGAAAGUGUGGGUAGCAAACAGGAUUAGAUACCCUGGUAG
RNAcentral lists this ribosomal RNA (760 nucleotides) under Leuconostoc mesenteroides. RNAcentral describes it as "bacterial SSU rRNA". It matches the Rfam family "Bacterial small subunit ribosomal RNA", at positions 46 to 793 of the family's 1533-position model. Lineage: Bacteria; Bacillati; Bacillota; Bacilli; Lactobacillales; Lactobacillaceae. The record is from RNAcentral.